CAUCACAAGAAUAAGAAGAUAACUCGACAAAGUUAAACUUGCUGGUGAGGAGGCACAGGCAGAGUCCCCCCGCAGCUGUGAUCCGGAUGGCAGCAGAAACAAUGAGAGCACUGAAGACUGCAGGCAGCAGGCCAAGGACACAGCUGCAAAGAAGCAUCGCCUGCGUCUCAUCGGACGUGGGAGCCAAAGCCACACAAGAAAGGUCGAGGCAGCGCCGGCCUGGCUCUCUGGGUGUGAAGCAACAGGGUGGAAUCCCUCUGAGCACCGGACAGAGGUCCCGAGAGACCUACUGUUCUAAAGGGUGGACGAGUGUUCACUUCAUUGAUAAGGACACAGCCCGCUCUUGGACACAACAAAAAUGAAAAAGCUGGUUUUAGAGACUGCACUCCCUUCCUCGUUUAAUCAUUUUUUUUAAUUUAGAUUGUUUUUUAACCAUUUUUUACAUGUUUUAUAGUGUGAUUUAUAUCCCUUUUAGCUGUUUUAAAUUUUUCUGAGAUGGCUUUUGUGGUUUUUAUCGGUACACAUGCAAUAUGUUUUAAAAAUGGAUUAAAUGAUAUGUAAACUGUAAAAAGAAUACUGUGGAAAUGUAACAAUAAAAGUUUUCGGGAAAAAAAAUCUGUUCUUAUCAGUUUAAUAUCUGAUACGUCCCCUACCCGGGGACCAUAUAUUAAAUUGAUUUUUGGAUCAGGGAGAUGGAAUAGGGGCUUGCUCCGUCCACUCCACGCAUCGACCUGGUAUUGCAGUACUACCAGGAACGGUGCACC
Long non-coding RNA from Cyprinodon tularosa, 764 nucleotides. RefSeq lists it as uncharacterized. Lineage: Eukaryota; Metazoa; Chordata; Actinopteri; Cyprinodontiformes; Cyprinodontidae. The transcript has 2 exons. The record is from RefSeq and is a predicted model, not a curated record.